This 261-nucleotide long non-coding RNA is filed under the name Linum usitatissimum (flax). RNAcentral's name for it is "long non-coding RNA (LUSI_LNC005237)". Lineage: Eukaryota; Viridiplantae; Streptophyta; Magnoliopsida; Malpighiales; Linaceae. The record is from RNAcentral.
UUGUAAUGUCGGAAUAACUUCACAGUUAUUUCGGCGAUCACUCUUCUUCGCCUAUCAUGAUGAGAGCCCAUGGUAACUACAAAGCAUUACCAAGAUAGCCAACAACUCAUUUACCAAUACACCUUUCUUUAUCUUGUCCAGAACUACACUGACGGCACCUGCCUUCACAGCUUUCGCCUUGUUUUCUUAGAAGAUGCAUUCGUUGUAAUUGCAGACGCAACGUAUUUCAUAGCCCAGGGAUGUCCUUCCUCUAAAAGGUCU